UAUGGAACUACGUCACCGACUUAUAAAGACUUUGAUUUCUAUCUUCAAACGAAUGGAUUGAUUUCAGUUACAAAAUAUCGGCCAUACAACUUCUUGUUCUCAUUUAUAGAAGGAAUUGUACAGUUGCCAAUAACCCAAACACCAGUCAUUAUCAUAGCCAAAUGUCAAGCGGGGGAAAAUACAAAACAAGGAGGCGUUCCAAAUAUGCAAAUUCGCAAAGUUUUAUCUCAAGUAAUGGACAGACAGGCGAGUUGUUGGAAAUCAAGCAAGAACCUUCAGCUGGCUGUGGGGAGCAAAUCCGAGAUUACUUUAAAGUCAUCCUUCUUCGGUACAUUCUCAGCGAGCAUAAAGUUGAUACAA
Mizuhopecten yessoensis (Yesso scallop) is the source of this 360-nucleotide long non-coding RNA. RefSeq lists it as uncharacterized. NCBI's taxonomy places the organism in Eukaryota, Metazoa, Mollusca, Bivalvia, Pectinida, Pectinidae. The record is from RefSeq and is a predicted model, not a curated record. The transcript has 3 exons.